AACGAACGCUGGCGGCAUGCCUAACACAUGCAAGUCGAACGAGACCUUCGGGUCUAGUGGCGCACGGGUGCGUAACGCGUGGGAACCUGCCCUUAGGUUCGGAAUAACUCCCCGAAAGGGGUGCUAAUACCGGAUAAUGUCUUCGGACCAAAGAUUUAUCGCCUUUGGAUGGGCCCGCGUUGGAUUAGCUAGUUGGUAGGGUAAAAGCCUACCAAGGCGACGAUCCAUAGCUGGUCUGAGAGGAUGAUCAGCCACACUGGGACUGAGACACGGCCCAGACUCCUACGGGAGGCAGCAGUGGGGAAUAUUGGACAAUGGGCGAAAGCCUGAUACAGCAAUGCCGCGUGAGUGAUGAAGGCCUUAGGGUUGUAAAGCUCUUUUACCCGGGAUGAUAAUGGCAGUACCGGGAGAAUAAGCUCCGGCUAACUCCGUG
Molecule: ribosomal RNA, 433 nt
Filed under: uncultured bacterium
Lineage: Bacteria
Description: partial 16S ribosomal RNA
Rfam family: Bacterial small subunit ribosomal RNA
Source: RNAcentral